UAGGGAAUAUUGGGCAAUGGACAAACGUCUGACCCAGCCAUGCCGCGUGGAGGAAGACGGCCCUCUGGGUUGUAAACUCCUUUUAUCAGGGAAGAAGAGCGGGCUUGCGAGCCUGUGUGACGGUACCUGAGGAAUAAGCACCGGCUAACUCCGUG
This 155-nucleotide ribosomal RNA is filed under the name uncultured bacterium. RNAcentral describes it as "partial 16S ribosomal RNA". It matches the Rfam family "Bacterial small subunit ribosomal RNA", at positions 355 to 507 of the family's 1533-position model. The record is from RNAcentral.